CCAGGUGUCUGUUGACUCUGAUCUUGUGACUGAAGGUCAGACCGUCACACUGACCUGUAAGACCAGCUGCCCUUAGAAAGAAACCAUCAUCUGGUUCAAGAACGAGGUUGCUUUAAAUGUCCAUUAUUCUGGCGAUCAGCUGCAUGUUUCUGCGGUGAGCCGUGAGGAUUCAGGACGAUACUCGUGUGCGCUGCAAUACUUCGAAACAUUCCCAUCGGCCGAGACAUUCCUCAAUGUGACUGAUGUGGCGUAUGAGAGCGCUGGAAUCGUAACGCUGUCGUCAGUCCUGAUUCCUGUCGUUCUGCUGGUCGUUUGUGCAGCUCUGUGGAUGAUAAAGAAAAAUCAACCAAACCUCAAAAGACCUCAAGAAAAAGAGAAAAACAUAGAGAAUGACACCAUGUACGAAAAUGACCAGACACUGGUGGAUUGGCAAGAUGGGUCUGAGUACACUUGUGUUUAUUUCAGGCUACACAGUAAACUGCAUUGUAAAACUUUUGCAGAGGAUACUGAAUGUCACAUGACAUUGCUGCUGCCCCCUAGUGAACAGUAUGUUUGUACCUAGUGCAUAGACACAAGUUGUAUUUAUAGGCUACAUGUUAUGUAUUUAAUUAUCUGUUUUUUUGGAAUGCUAUACUUUUUUUACGUAUAUUUUUCUUCAUGUCUCAAUAGUAGCUGUAAUAAACUGAAUUCAGGUAAAAUGAGGUGCUGUUGACUGUCAAGAAA
Labeo rohita (rohu) is the source of this 723-nucleotide long non-coding RNA. RefSeq lists it as uncharacterized. Lineage: Eukaryota; Metazoa; Chordata; Actinopteri; Cypriniformes; Cyprinidae. The transcript is spliced from 4 exons. The record is from RefSeq and is a predicted model, not a curated record.